This 77-nucleotide transfer RNA is filed under the name Caldivirga maquilingensis IC-167. RNAcentral's name for it is "tRNA-Phe (GAA) (tRNA-Phe-GAA-1-1)". It matches the Rfam family "tRNA". From Rfam's summary of the family: Transfer RNA (tRNA) molecules are approximately 80 nucleotides in length. Their secondary structure includes four short double-helical elements and three loops (D, anti-codon, and T loops). The record is from RNAcentral. Lineage: Archaea; Thermoproteati; Thermoproteota; Thermoprotei; Thermoproteales; Thermoproteaceae. RNAcentral also lists the same sequence under 2 other names.
GCCCCGGUAGCUCAGCCUGGGAGAGCACCCGGCUGAAGACCGGGGGGUCCCGGGUUCAAGUCCCGGCCGGGGCACCA